AUUUAUAUAGUUUAAAUAAAACAUUACAUUUUCAUUGUAAAAAUAAAAUAACAAUUUUUAUAAAUA
RNAcentral lists this transfer RNA (66 nucleotides) under Austrogymnocnemia maculata. RNAcentral describes it as "tRNA-Glu". The record is from RNAcentral. Lineage: Eukaryota; Metazoa; Arthropoda; Insecta; Neuroptera; Myrmeleontidae.